This is a transfer RNA of Talaromyces islandicus, 71 nucleotides long. It matches the Rfam family "tRNA". From Rfam's summary of the family: Transfer RNA (tRNA) molecules are approximately 80 nucleotides in length. Their secondary structure includes four short double-helical elements and three loops (D, anti-codon, and T loops). Lineage: Eukaryota; Fungi; Ascomycota; Eurotiomycetes; Eurotiales; Trichocomaceae. The record is from Rfam.
UGCGGAUUAGUGUAAUGGUACCAUAUUUGGCUCAUGACCAAAAGAUUUAGGUUCGAAUCCUAAGUUCGCGC